GUCAGAACAGAUGGGUUCCCUGACUCUGCUGCUGCUACCUCACCAUGACCUGUGCAAACCUUGUAUCUCCUCUAGUUCCUGGUGUUUUAAUUUCAAAAACAGUAUUUAACUCCCUCCUAUGGUAUAGGUUGGCUGCUUCUUUAUGAAUACCUUGUAUCUAAAUUCACUCCUGCUUACAUAAAACAGGGCAGGACUUCCAUUGCAAUUAAAAUAACUUUUUUUUUCUCUAUACAUAGGAAAAAGUCACAUCUUAUAUAAAUUUUAACUGAAAAUGGAAGCUUUACUCUAUUUCCUAGCACUUUGUGAAUGGUAGCCUUGGAGGGGGCAUGGAGAGUGCCCUAUCACUCCUAAUAUUGAGUUGUGUAUGCAAAUAGGCUAUUAUUGAUGCAGGCGUGUUUCAUGUUAGGUAUCUUCAUGUUAGUCAAAGAUAAUCUUUAAUAUUUUGGUUUCUUUAUGACCAGAUACUAUUAAGCAGGGAUAGAUUGACCAUGAGCUAAAAUACUUGGUUCCUUUUUUUUUUUCUCAAUUUAAUGAUUGCCAAUUUCACUCAUUAUGAAGACACCAGAAACGAAAUUGCUGGAAUGAGUACAUGCCACAAUAAAGCUACUGAAAGCCUUGAAGAUGUCUAGGUAUUUUGCAAAGUAUGUAUGGGUCAUAGGUUUUAGGAGUGUGUGUUUAUAUAGGUUGGUAUUUCCUGUUUCCUGGGAUUCUCUUUCAUUCCCUACUCACAUAAUAGAUUCUCUAAAAGUUCAGCAUAGGUACAAGCCACUGCUGGGAUAUUUUCUACUGCGCUCAUUUGAAAGGGAAAUGAUAUUUAUCUUUAAAGCAUUGUAAAUAUUAAUGACAUUUGUCACUACUUAAUGCUUAAUUUUAUUUGUAAAACUUCCUAAGAUUUCUCUGUUGAAGAUUCUAAAUUUGCUUGUUGUAGAUG
Molecule: long non-coding RNA, 931 nt
Filed under: Bos taurus (domestic cattle)
Lineage: Eukaryota; Metazoa; Chordata; Mammalia; Artiodactyla; Bovidae
Description: long non-coding RNA NONBTAT000380
Source: RNAcentral